RNAcentral lists this ribosomal RNA (463 nucleotides) under uncultured bacterium. Its description in RNAcentral is "partial 16S ribosomal RNA". It matches the Rfam family "Bacterial small subunit ribosomal RNA", at positions 28 to 507 of the family's 1533-position model. The record is from RNAcentral.
GACGAACGCUGGCGGCGUGCUUAACACAUGCAAGUCGAACGGUGAACCCCUUCGGAGGGGAUCAGUGGCGAACGGGUGAGUAACACGUGGGCAACCUGCCCCCGGCUCUGGGAUAACUCCAAGAAAUUGGGGCUAAUACCGGAUGUUCACCGCUUCCCGCAUGGGUGGUGGUGGAAAGGGUUUCCGGCUGGGGAUGGGCCCGCGGCCUAUCAGCUUGUUGGUGGGGUAGUGGCCUACCAAGGCGACGACGGGUAGCCGGCCUGAGAGGGUGACCGGCCACACUGGGACUGAGACACGGCCCAGACUCCUACGGGAGGCAGCAGUGGGGAAUAUUGCGCAAUGGGCGGAAGCCUGACGCAGCGACGCCGCGUGGGGGAUGACGGCCUUCGGGUUGUAAACCUCUUUCAGCAGGGACGAAGCGCAAGUGACGGUACCUGCAGAAGAAGCACCGGCCAACUACGUG